GAUGAACGCUGGCGGCGUGCCUAAUACAUGCAAGUCGAGCGAACGGACGAGAAGCUUGCUUCUCUGAUGUUAGCGGCGGACGGGUGAGUAACACGUGGAUAACCUACCUAUAAGACUGGGAUAACUUCGGGAAACCGGAGCUAAUACCGGAUAAUAUUUUGAACCGCAUGGUUCAAAAGUGAAAGACGGUCUUGCUGUCACUUAUAGAUGGAUCCGCGCUGCAUUAGCUAGUUGGUAAGGUAACGGCUUACCAAGGCAACGAUGCAUAGCCGACCUGAGAGGGGGCAGGCCCACCCGGGAACGGAGCCCCGGCACAGCACCCACGGGAGGGCAGAGGUGGGGAAUUUUCCGAAAGGGGGAAAAGCGUGACGGAGAAACGCCGGGGGGGUGAUGAAGGUCUUCGGAUCGUAAAACCUUUUUUUUGGGGAAAAACAAUUUUGUAAGUAACGGUGCACAUCUGAGGGGAACCAAAUAAGAAAGCCACGGCAACCUCCGG
This 496-nucleotide ribosomal RNA is filed under the name uncultured bacterium. RNAcentral describes it as "partial 16S ribosomal RNA". It matches the Rfam family "Bacterial small subunit ribosomal RNA", at positions 28 to 506 of the family's 1533-position model. The record is from RNAcentral.